CCUACGGGCGGCAGCAGUGGGGAAUAUUGCGCAAUGGGCGAAAGCCUGACGCAGCGACGCCGCGUGAGGGAUGAAGGUCUUCGGAUCGUAAACCUCUGUCAGCAGGGAAGAACGGUCACUGUGCUAAUCAGCAGUGAAUUGACGGUACCUGCAAAGGAAGCACCGGCUAACUCCGUGCCAGCAGCCGCGGUAAUACGGAGGGUGCGGGCGUUAAUCGGAAUUACUGGGCGUAAAGCGCUCGUAGGCGGUAUGUCAAGGCAAGGGUGAAAUCCCCGUGCUCAACGUGGGAACUGCCUUUGAAACGGGCAAACUGGAGUGUGUGAGAGGAUAGUGGAAUUCCAGGUGUAGGAGUGAAAUGCGUAGAUAUCUGGAGGAACAUCAGUGGCGAAGGCGACUAUCUGGCACAUAACUGACGCUGAGGAGCGAAAGCGUGGGUAGCAAACAGGAUUAGAUACCCCAGUAGUC
RNAcentral lists this ribosomal RNA (465 nucleotides) under uncultured bacterium. RNAcentral describes it as "partial 16S ribosomal RNA". It matches the Rfam family "Bacterial small subunit ribosomal RNA", at positions 338 to 795 of the family's 1533-position model. The record is from RNAcentral.